GUUGUGAGGUUAAGCGACUAAGCGUACACGGUGGAUGCCCUGGCAGUCAGAGGCGAUGAAGGACGUGCUAAUCUGCGAUAAGCGUCGGUAAGGUGAUAUGAACCGUUAUAACCGGCGAUUUCCGAAUGGGGAAACCCAGUGUGAUUCGUCACACUAUCAUUAACUGAAUCCAUAGGUUAAUGAGGCGAACCGGGGGAACUGAAACAUCUAAGUACCCCGAGGAAAAGAAAUCAACCGAGAUUCCCCCAGUAGCGGCGAGCGAACGGGGAGCAGCCCAGAGCCUGAAUCAGUGUGUGUGUUAGUGGAAGCGUCUGGAAAGGCGUGCGAUACAGGGUGACAGCCCCGUACACAAAAAUGCACAUACUGUGAGCUCGAUGAGUAGGGCGGGACACGUGGUAUCCUGUCUGAAUAUGGGGGGACCAUCCUCCAAGGCUAAAUACUCCUGACUGACCGAUAGUGAACCAGUACCGUGAGG
Molecule: ribosomal RNA, 475 nt
Filed under: Shigella flexneri
Lineage: Bacteria; Pseudomonadati; Pseudomonadota; Gammaproteobacteria; Enterobacterales; Enterobacteriaceae
Description: partial 23S ribosomal RNA
Rfam family: Bacterial large subunit ribosomal RNA
Source: RNAcentral